AUCGUUCAUCCUAACUAAUAAGGACGGAAGUAAGCUUCAUGCUGAAGGAACGCGCU
Molecule: non-coding RNA, 56 nt
Submitted as: unclassified sequences
Source: Rfam